RNAcentral lists this long non-coding RNA (1190 nucleotides) under Gossypium barbadense (sea-island cotton). RNAcentral describes it as "long non-coding RNA (GBAR_LNC021290)". The record is from RNAcentral. Lineage: Eukaryota; Viridiplantae; Streptophyta; Magnoliopsida; Malvales; Malvaceae.
GACUCUUAUGUUGAUUUUGAAGCUAAAAUUGUUUAUAAGAAUUGAGUUAAAUUGUGAGUAUUCGAAUAUAUGUUCUGGCAAUGAACACUUUAGUCACUUAAUCUUUAUAUCAUUACUCCUUAAUUUAAUAAUUCAAACAAUAUCAAUAAUAAUGUAAGCCCAAUUCCUAGCAAAGUUACUGUCAAUCAUAUGUUUCAAUAAUCCUUCAUUCAUACUUCACUCACCAUUUCUCAAUAUGUAAAAAGCAAUUCUAAUUCUAAUCGAUGGAUUGCUAUGUAAAGAUAAAAAAGAGAAGAAGAAAUACAAUUCUAAUUCUAAUCGAUGGAUUACUAUGCAAAUACAGAACCCGUGGCAGUAUGCAUUCUCAUCCAAUAAUAAUUUUUUGUAACUACAGCCAAACAAUCAAUAACAAUCAUUCUCAUCCAAUAAUUUUUUUUUUUGUAAAGUUAGAAAGGUAAAUAAAUCUUAUACCAAAUUCUAAUGACAAACAUGCUGAGCUAAGUGUGAUGAAAGAAAAAAAAGAAGAAAGUUUUUAAGGUCUGUACUAAUAAAAGCUCUGUACUAAUAAAAGCAUGGCAAAAGGAACAGUAUCUACAAUUUCUUUCUUUAAUAGAUGGUUAAUUCACUAAUUGAAAAGCACCAGUUUCUGCCUAGUGCUCGUUGAAGAUAUACAAGUAUAUACUGCCUGAAAGUAAAAUAUAGUGUAAGAACUAGUCCUUAAAUUUUAGAUUUUUGUAGUUUUCUGAUAAGAUGCGGUGCUACAGUUUGUGUUAGACCUUCCUAUUCCUCUGUAAUUCAAAAACCAGUCUAAUAUAUCAUCAUUUUUGGGUGUUGACUUCUCAGAUAAUCCCUCAAUUGGAACAUAUUUCACUUACUACUGAUGACAUUUUUCAAAAUAAGAAAAUCUCUGUUUUAAAGUAGAUAACCAUUUCAAAAUAAACAAGUAAUUCAUACUGUGCAACAUGUCCCAAACAAAAUGCACUGAAAUCAUCUUGUAAGAAAACGAGGAAGGACAAAAUACGAGGAGUUACUGGCUAAAAUCAGUCAUUUUCUUCUUUUAACUCAAAAGUCAAGAGGGGAGUCCCCUCUUUUUUAUGUUCAUCAUAUUACAAGAUACGAGGAAGGACAAGCCUACAAGGAUUUACUGGCUUUGAAUCCCUGAUUUGGACUGCAAACAAACGAACUUAGAU